This 144-nucleotide microRNA precursor is filed under the name Procavia capensis (Cape rock hyrax). RNAcentral's name for it is "miRNA (ENSPCAG00000019013.1)". The stretch from base 47 to 98 matches the Rfam family "mir-1302 microRNA precursor family". The record is from RNAcentral. Lineage: Eukaryota; Metazoa; Chordata; Mammalia; Hyracoidea; Procaviidae.
AAUACAAGAUGCUUAGUUAAACUGGCAUUUCAGAAGAAAAAUGAUCUUUUUAGCAUAAGUAUAUCCCACGCACUGUUUGGGACAUGCUUAUGCUAAAACUUGUUGUUUAUCUGAAAUUCAAAUUGAACUGGAUGUCCUGUAUGU